This is a long non-coding RNA of Oenanthe melanoleuca, 603 nucleotides long. RefSeq lists it as uncharacterized. The record is from RefSeq and is a predicted model, not a curated record. NCBI's taxonomy places the organism in Eukaryota, Metazoa, Chordata, Aves, Passeriformes, Muscicapidae. The transcript is spliced from 3 exons.
CACACUUCUAAUAGCAAACUCCAUAUAAGUAGAAAAACAUACAAAGUAUACAGAAGCUAAGAAUCUUCCAACCCUUGACAUACAGAUUAUUCAGCUAGAAAACAAUCUGAAGAGUAAACAGCUACCUUGGCUGCAGGGAUGAAGUGGUUAAAGUGGAGAGAACAUGCAUUUUACACGAGUUUCCCGGCUCCCUGGAGGUGAGGUGGGCUCUGGCCAGGGCCCUGGUCCCGGCCUGGCAUCAGGCUCGACCUGGCUGCUGGCUCGGCAGGACUUGGCUUGGCUCGGCCCCACUCGGCUUCAGGCUCGGCCCGGAUCCCAGCUCAGCAGGGCUCAGCUCGGCACCACUCAGCUCCGGGCUGGGCUCGGCUCCUGGUUUCUUUCUCCAUGCAGCAUGGCCAAUUGGGGGAUGGGGGAGCCACCCAGGCUCUCCCUUCCCCCUGUUCUGAGAAGAAAGGCCGCCAGCUGACCACGUGGCUCAGAGUUUUUCCAGCAAUGGCCUGGCCCAGCUUCUCCACGUUCUGGAUGCAAUUUUAAUGCCUGAAUAAGAUUCUCGAUCUCCUGAGUUCCCCUGAAUGAGAAGAAUAAAGCUAAAAGUCUACUGAA